RNAcentral lists this non-coding RNA (111 nucleotides) under uncultured Prevotella sp. Lineage: Bacteria; Pseudomonadati; Bacteroidota; Bacteroidia; Bacteroidales; Prevotellaceae. The record is from RNAcentral.
AGAGCCGUGUGAGGGGAGACUUUCACGCACGGUUCUGUGAGAGGGUGAAACUCCCUCGCUCUACUCGACCCUGUCCUAUUUAGUUUAGGACAGGGGAUAGCCCCCUAUCCU